CGGAUUAGUGGCGAACGGGUGAGUAACAUAUCGGAACGUACCCAGUAAGUGGGGAUAACUAGUCGAAAGACUGGCUAAUACCGCAUACGCCCUGAGGGGAAAGCGGGGGAUCGAAAGACCUCGUGUUAUUGGAGCGGCCGAUAUCUGAUUAGCUAGUUGGUGGGGUAAAGGCCUACCAAGGCGACGAUCAGUAGCUGGUCUGAGAGGACGACCAGCCACACUGGAACUGAGACACGGUCCAG
RNAcentral lists this ribosomal RNA (242 nucleotides) under uncultured bacterium. Its description in RNAcentral is "partial 16S ribosomal RNA". It matches the Rfam family "Bacterial small subunit ribosomal RNA", at positions 88 to 334 of the family's 1533-position model. The record is from RNAcentral.